CUACGGGCCGCAGCAGUGGGGAAUAUUGGACAAUGGGCGCAAGCCUGAUCCAGCCAUGCCGCGUGAGUGAUGAAGGCCUUAGGGUUGUAAAGCUCUUUCGUCCGGGACGAUAAUGACGGUACCGGAAGAAGAAGCCCCGGCUAACUUCGUGCCAGCAGCCGCGGUAAUACGAAGGGGGCUAGCGUUGCUCGGAAUCACUGGGCGUAAAGGGCGCGUAGGCGGCCAUUCAAGUCAGAGGUGAAAGCCCAAGGCUCAACCUUGGAAUUGCCCUUGAUACUGUUUGGCUUGAGACCGGAAGAGGUAAGUGGAACUGCGAGUGUAGAGGUGAAAUUCGUAGAUAUUCGCAAGAACACCAGUGGCGAAGGCGGCUUACUGGUCCGGUUCUGACGCUGAGGCGCGAAAGCGUGGGGAGCAAACAGGAUUAGAUACCCCUGUAGUC
This 439-nucleotide ribosomal RNA is filed under the name uncultured bacterium. Its description in RNAcentral is "partial 16S ribosomal RNA". It matches the Rfam family "Bacterial small subunit ribosomal RNA", at positions 339 to 795 of the family's 1533-position model. The record is from RNAcentral.